AGUGAACGCUGGCGGUAGGCCUAACACAUGCAAGUCGAACGGCAGCACAGUAAGAGCUUGCUCUUACGGGUGGCGAGUGGCGGACGGGUGAGGAAUACAUCGGAAUCUACUUUUUCGUGGGGGAUAACGUAGGGAAACUUACGCUAAUACCGCAUACGACCUACGGGUGAAAGCAGGGGAUCUUCGGACCUUGCGCGAUUGAAUGAGCCGAUGUCGGAUUAGCUAGUUGGCGGGGUAAAGGCCCACCAAGGCGACGAUCCGUAGCUGGUCUGAGAGGAUGAGCACCCGCAGUGGAGCGGAUACGCCGCCCGGCCUCCUACGGGAGCCGCAGGGGGGGAAUUUUGGACGAGGGGCCCAGGCCUGCUCCCGCCAUCCCGCGGGGGUGAAGAGGCCCUUCGGUUGGUAAGCCCUUUUUGUUGGGAAAAAACACCAGCGGGUUAAUCCCCCGCUGUUCUGACGGCCCCCAAAAAAAAACCCCCGGCUAACUUCGUC
RNAcentral lists this ribosomal RNA (492 nucleotides) under uncultured bacterium. Its description in RNAcentral is "partial 16S ribosomal RNA". It matches the Rfam family "Bacterial small subunit ribosomal RNA", at positions 29 to 507 of the family's 1533-position model. The record is from RNAcentral.